GGGCCCGCACAAGCGGUGGAGCAUGUGGUUUAAUUCGAUGAUACGCGAGGAACCUUACCAGGGCUUAAAUGUAGAACGACCGAUUUGGAAACAAGUCUUCUCUUUGAGCGGUCUACAAGGUGCUGCAUGGUUGUCGUCAGCUCGUGCCGUGAGGUGUCGGGUUAAGUCCCUUAACGAGCGCAACCCCUAUCUCUAGUUGCCAGCGAUUCGGUCGGGAACUAUAAGGGGACUGCCGGUGAUAAACCGGAGGAAGGUGAGGACGACGUCAAGUCAUCAUGGCCCUUACGAGUAGGGCUACACACGUGCUACAAUGGGGAAUACAGACGGACGCUAAGCCGCGAGGUGGUGCU
This 350-nucleotide ribosomal RNA is filed under the name uncultured bacterium. RNAcentral describes it as "bacterial SSU rRNA". It matches the Rfam family "Bacterial small subunit ribosomal RNA", at positions 917 to 1269 of the family's 1533-position model. The record is from RNAcentral.